GACGAACGCUGGCGGCGUGCUUAACACAUGCAAGUCGAACGGAAAGGCCCUGCUUUUGUGGGGUGCUCGAGUGGCGAACGGGUGAGUAACACGUGAGUAACCUGCCCUUGACUUUGGGAUAACUUCAGGAAACUGGGGCUAAUACCGGAUAUGAGCUCCUGCUGCAUGGUGGGGGUUGGAAAGUUUCGGCGGUUGGGGAUGGACUCGCGGCUUAUCAGCUUGUUGGUGGGGUAGUGGCUUACCAAGGCUUUGACGGGUAGCCGGCCUGAGAGGGUGACCGGCCACAUUGGGACUGAGAUACGGCCCAGACGCCUACGGGAGGCAGCAGUGGGGAAUAUUGCACAAUGGGCGGAAGCCUGAUGCAGAAACGCCGCGUGCGGGAUGACGGCCUUCGGGUUGUAAACCGCUUUCGCAUGUGACGAAGCGUGCGUGACGGUAAUGGGUAAAGAAGCACCGGCUAACUACGUG
This 468-nucleotide ribosomal RNA is filed under the name uncultured bacterium. RNAcentral's name for it is "partial 16S ribosomal RNA". It matches the Rfam family "Bacterial small subunit ribosomal RNA", at positions 28 to 507 of the family's 1533-position model. The record is from RNAcentral.